This 748-nucleotide ribosomal RNA is filed under the name Pseudomonas frederiksbergensis. RNAcentral's name for it is "bacterial SSU rRNA". It matches the Rfam family "Bacterial small subunit ribosomal RNA", at positions 601 to 1351 of the family's 1533-position model. The record is from RNAcentral. Lineage: Bacteria; Pseudomonadati; Pseudomonadota; Gammaproteobacteria; Pseudomonadales; Pseudomonadaceae.
CCCCGGGCUCAACUGGGAACUGCAUCAAACUGUCGAGCUAGAGUAUGGUAGAGGGGUGGUGGAAUUUCCUGUGUAGCGGUGAAAUGCGUAGAUAUAGGAAGGAACACCAGUGGCGAAGGCGACCACUGGACUGAUACUGACACUGAGGUGCGAAAGCGUGGGGAGCAAACAGGAUUAGAUACCCUGGUAGUCACGCCGUAAACGAUGUCAACUAGCCGUUGGGAGCCUUGAGCUCUUAGUGGCGCAGCUAACGCAUUAAGUUGACCGCCUGGGGAGUACGGCCGCAAGGUUAAAACUCAAAUGAAUUGACGGGGGCCCGCACAAGCGGUGGAGCAUGUGGUUUAAAAAGAAGCAACGCGAAGAACCUUACCAGGCCUUGACAUCCAAUGAACUUUCCAGAGAUGGAUUGGUGCCUUCGGGAACACUUAGGACCGGGGGUGCAUGGCUGUUGUCAGCUCGUGUCGUGAGAUGUUGGGUUAAGUCCCGUAACGAGCGCAACCCUUGUCACCUUUCCUUAUUCCCGCAAUAAUGGGGGGACUUAAGGAGACUGCCGGUGACAAACCGGAGGAAGGUGGGGGUGACGUCAAGUCAUCAUGGCCCUUACGGCCUGGGCUACACACGUGCUACAAUGGUCGGUACAAAGGGUUGCCAAGCCGCGAGGUGGAGCUAAUCCCAUAAAACCGAUCGUUUCCGGAUCGCAGUCUGCAACUCGACUGCGUGAAGUCGGAAUCGCUAGUAAUCGGAAUCA